RNAcentral lists this ribosomal RNA (255 nucleotides) under uncultured bacterium. Its description in RNAcentral is "partial 16S rRNA". It matches the Rfam family "Bacterial small subunit ribosomal RNA", at positions 505 to 759 of the family's 1533-position model. The record is from RNAcentral.
GUGUCAGCCGCCGCGGUAAUACGUAGGGUGCGAGCGUUGUCCGGAAUUAUUGGGCGUAAAGAGCUCGUAGGCGGUCUGUCGCGUCUGCUGUGAAAACCCGAGGCUCAACCUCGGGCCUGCAGUGGGUACGGGCAGACUAGAGUGCGGUAGGGGAGAAUGGAAUUCCUGGUGUAGCGGGGGAAUGCGCAGAAAUCAGGAGGAACACCGAUGGCGAAGGCAGUUCUCUGGGCCGUAACUGACGCUGAGGAGCGAAAG